GCAAGUCGAGGGGUAACAGAUUAGAAGCUUGCUUUUGAUGCUGACGACCGGCGCACGGGUGAGUAACGCGUAUGCAACCUACCUUUAACAGGGGAAUAGCCCGGAGAAAUUCGGAUUAAUGCCCCAUAAUGUAUAAGUAUCACCUGAUAUUUAUAUUAAAGUUUCGGCGGUUAAAGAUGGGCAUGCGUGACAUUAGGUAGUUGGUAAGGUAACGGCUUACCAAGCCUACGAUGUCUAGGGGGCCUGAGAGGGUUAUC
Molecule: ribosomal RNA, 257 nt
Filed under: uncultured bacterium
Lineage: Bacteria
Description: partial 16S ribosomal RNA
Rfam family: Bacterial small subunit ribosomal RNA
Source: RNAcentral